UUGCCUCCCAAGUAGCUCACAGUUCCACUUCUAAAAAUAAAUUAGCAUAGAUUCUUCUAGAUCCAGCUUGAAUGAUGUAUCCAUUAAAUCUCUGAUGAUAUAUCCUACCCCGACUUCACCUUGUUUUAAAUUUGCAUCAAAGUUAACUAGAAUAUUGCAUGAAGGGGCCCACCAUAAAACUAAUCGAGGUGAUUGGGUUACAAACAUCACUGAGCUUCUGAUACCCCACUACCGCUCAUGCUCUG
Molecule: long non-coding RNA, 245 nt
Filed under: Elaeis guineensis (African oil palm)
Lineage: Eukaryota; Viridiplantae; Streptophyta; Magnoliopsida; Arecales; Arecaceae
Description: long non-coding RNA (EGUI_LNC023086)
Source: RNAcentral